UACAGGGGGGGCAAGCGUUGUUCGGAAUUACUGGGCGUAAAGGGCCAGUAGGCGGCCAACUAAGUCCGACGUGAAAUCCCUAGGCUUAACCUAGGAACUGCGUCGGAUACUGGAUGGCUUGAAUUCGGGAGAGGGAUGCAGAAUUCCAGGUGUAGCGGUGAAAUGCGUAGAUAUCUGGAGGAAUACCGGUGGCGAAGGCGGCUCACUGGCCCGGUACUGACGCUGAGGCGCGAAAGCGUGGGGAGCAAACAGG
This 253-nucleotide ribosomal RNA is filed under the name uncultured bacterium. Its description in RNAcentral is "partial 16S ribosomal RNA". It matches the Rfam family "Bacterial small subunit ribosomal RNA", at positions 524 to 776 of the family's 1533-position model. The record is from RNAcentral.